GGGUUGUGAGGUUAAGCGACUAAGCGUACACGGUGGAUGCCCUGGCAGUCAGAGGCGAUGAAGGGCGUGCUAAUCUGCGAUAAGCGCCGGUAAGGUGAUAUGAACCGUUAUAACCGGCGAUACCCGAAUGGGGAAACCCAGUGUGAUUCGUCACACUAUCAUUAACUGAAUCCAUAGGUUAAUGAGGCGAACCGGGGGAACUGAAACAUCUAAGUACCCCGAGGAAAAGAAAUCAACCGAGAUUCCCCCAGUAGCGGCGAGCGAACGGGGAGGAGCCCAGAGCCUGAAUCAGCAUGUGUGUUAGUGGAAGCGUCUGGAAAGGCGCGCGAUACAGGGUGACAGCCCCGUACACAAAAGCGCAUGUGUUGUGAGCUCGAUGAGUAGGGCGGGACACGUGGUAUCCUGUCUGAAUAUGGGGGGACCAUCCUCCAAGGCUAAAUACUCCUGACUGACCGAUAGUGAACCAGUACCGUGAGGGAAAGGCGAAAAGAACCCCGGCGAGGGGAGUGAAAAAGAACCUGAAACCGUGUACGUACAAGCAGUGGGAGCACCCUUUGGGGUGUGACUGCGUACCUUUUGUAUAAUGGGUCAGCGACUUAUAUUCUGUAGCAAGGUUAACCGAAUAGGGGAGCCGGAGGGAAACCGAGUCUUAAUUGGGCGUUAAGUUGCAGGGUAUAGACCCGAAACCCGGUGAUCUAGCCAUGGGCAGGUUGAAGGUUGGGUAACACUAACUGGAGGACCGAACCGACUAAUGUUGAAAAAUUAGCGGAUGACCUGUGGCUGGGGGUGAAAGGCCAAUCAAACCGGGAGAUAGCUGGUUCUCCCCGAAAGCUAUUUAGGUAGCGCCUCGUGAAUUCAUCUCCGGGGGUAGAGCACUGUUUCGGCUAGGGGGCCAUCCCGGCUUACCAACCCGAUGCAAACUGCGAAUACCGGAGAAUGUUAUCACGGGAGACACACGGCGGGUGCUAACGUCCGUCGUGAAGAGGGAAACAACCCAGACCGCCAGCUAAGGUCCCAAAGUCAUGGUUAAGUGGGAAACGAUGUGGGAAGGCCCAGACAGCCAGGAUGUUGGCUUAGAAGCAGCCAUCAUUUAAAGAAAGCGUAAUAGCUCACUGGUCGAGUCGGCCUGCGCGGAAGAUGUAACGGGGCUAAACCAUGCACCGAAGCUGCGGCAGCGACACUAUGUGUUGUUGGGUAGGGGAGCGUUCUGUAAGCCUGUGAAGGUGUGUCGUGAGGCAUGCUGGAGGUAUCAGAAGUGCGAAUGCUGACAUAAGUAACGAUAAAGCGGGUGAAAAGCCCGCUCGCCGGAAGACCAAGGGUUCCUGUCCAACGUUAAUCGGGGCAGGGUGAGUCGACCCCUAAGGCGAGGCCGAAAGGCGUAGUCGAUGGGAAACGGGUUAAUAUUCCCGUACUUGGUGUUACUGCGAAGGGGGGACGGAGAAGGCUAUGUUGGCCGGGCGACGGUUGUCCCGGUUUAAGCGUGUAGGUGUGUGUUCCAGGUAAAUCCGGUUCACUUUAACACUGAGGCGUGACGACGAGGCACUACGGUGCUGAAGCAACAAAUGCCCUGCUUCCAGGAAAAGCCUCUAAGCAUCAGGUAACAUCAAAUCGUACCCCAAACCGACACAGGUGGUCAGGUAGAGAAUACCAAGGCGCUUGAGAGAACUCGGGUGAAGGAACUAGGCAAAAUGGUGCCGUAACUUCGGGAGAAGGCACGCUGACACGUAGGUGAAGUGAUUUACUCAUGGAGCUGAAGUCAGUCGAAGAUACCAGCUGGCUGCAACUGUUUAUUAAAAACACAGCACUGUGCAAACACGAAAGUGGACGUAUACGGUGUGACGCCUGCCCGGUGCCGGAAGGUUAAUUGAUGGGGUCAGCGCAAGCGAAGCUCCUGAUCGAAGCCCCGGUAAACGGCGGCCGUAACUAUAACGGUCCUAAGGUAGCGAAAUUCCUUGUCGGGUAAGUUCCGACCUGCACGAAUGGCGUAAUGAUGGCCAGGCUGUCUCCACCCGAGACUCAGUGAAAUUGAACUCGCUGUGAAGAUGCAGUGUACCCGCGGCAAGACGGAAAGACCCCGUGAACCUUUACUAUAGCUUGACACUGAACAUUGAGCCUUGAUGUGUAGGAUAGGUGGGAGGCUUUGAAGUGUGGACGCCAGUCUGCAUGGAGCCGACCUUGAAAUACCACCCUUUAAUGUUUGAUGUUCUAACGUGGACCCGUGAUCCGGGUUGCGGACAGUGUCUGGUGGGUAGUUUGACUGGGGCGGUCUCCUCCUAAAGAGUAACGGAGGAGCACGAAGGUUGGCUAAUCCUGGUCGGACAUCAGGAGGUUAGUGCAAUGGCAUAAGCCAGCUUGACUGCGAGCGUGACGGCGCGAGCAGGUGCGAAAGCAGGUCAUAGUGAUCCGGUGGUUCUGAAUGGAAGGGCCAUCGCUCAACGGAUAAAAGGUACUCCGGGGAUAACAGGCUGAUACCGCCCAAGAGUUCAUAUCGACGGCGGUGUUUGGCACCUCGAUGUCGGCUCAUCACAUCCUGGGGCUGAAGUAGGUCCCAAGGGUAUGGCUGUUCGCCAUUUAAAGUGGUACGCGAGCUGGGUUUAGAACGUCGUGAGACAGUUCGGUCCCUAUCUGCCGUGGGCGCUGGAGAACUGAGGGGGGCUGCUCCUAGUACGAGAGGACCGGAGUGGACGCAUCACUGGUGUUCGGGUUGUCAUGCCAAUGGCACUGCCCGGUAGCUAAAUGCGGAAGAGAUAAGUGCUGAAAGCAUCUAAGCACGAAACUUGCCCCGAGAUGAGUUCUCCCUGAGACUUAAAGUCUCCUGAAGGAACGUUGAAGACGACGACGUUGAUAGGCCGGGUGUGUAAGCGCAGCGAUGCGUUGAGCUAACCGGUACUAAUGAACCGUGAGGCUUAACCUUACAACGCCGAAG
RNAcentral lists this ribosomal RNA (2926 nucleotides) under Salmonella enterica subsp. enterica serovar Newport str. USDA-ARS-USMARC-1927. RNAcentral describes it as "bacterial LSU rRNA". It matches the Rfam family "Bacterial large subunit ribosomal RNA". The record is from RNAcentral. Lineage: Bacteria; Pseudomonadati; Pseudomonadota; Gammaproteobacteria; Enterobacterales; Enterobacteriaceae.